Molecule: ribosomal RNA, 253 nt
Filed under: uncultured bacterium
Lineage: Bacteria
Description: partial 16S ribosomal RNA
Rfam family: Bacterial small subunit ribosomal RNA
Source: RNAcentral
UACGGAGGGUGCGAGCGUUGUCCGGAAUCACUGGGCGUAAAGGGCGCGUAGGCGGCGCGGGGAGUCAACGGUGAAAGCUCGGCGCUCAACGCCGAGUCGGCCGUCGAUACUCCCGUGCUUGAGCACUGUAGAGGCAGGUGGAAUUCCGGGUGUAGCGGUGGAAUGCGUAGAGAUCCGGAAGAACACCAGUGGCGAAGGCGGCCCGCUGGGCAGUGGCUGACGCUGAGGCGCGACAGCGUGGGGAGCAAACAGG